This 1248-nucleotide ribosomal RNA is filed under the name metagenome. RNAcentral's name for it is "bacterial LSU rRNA". It matches the Rfam family "Bacterial large subunit ribosomal RNA", at positions 1635 to 2875 of the family's 2925-position model. The record is from RNAcentral.
UAUACGACCGUACCGCAAACCGACACUGGUGCGCGAGAUGAGUAUUCUAAGGCGCUUGAGAGAACUCAGGAGAAGGAACUCGGCAAAUUGACACCGUAACUUCGGAAGAAGGUGUGCCUUAUUAGUGUGAAGUGAACAACGGAGCAUGAAUGGGUUGCAAAAAAUCGGUGGCUGCGACUGUUUAUUAAAAACACAGCACUCUGCAAACACGAAAGUGGACGUAUAGGGUGUGACGCCUGCCCGGUGCUGGAAGAUUAAAUGAUGGGGUGCAAGCUCUUGAUUGAAGUCCCAGUAAACGGCGGCCGUAACAAUAACGGUCCUAAGGUAGCGAGAUUCCUUGUCGGGUAAGUUCCGACCUGCACGAAUGGCGUAACGAUGGCCACACUGUCUCCUCCUGAGACUCAGCGAAGUUGAAAUGUUUGUGAUGAUGCAAUCUCCCCGCGGAAAGACGGAAAGACCCCAUGAACCUUUACUGUAGCUUUGUAUUGGACUUUGAACAGAUCUGUGUAGGAUAGGUGGGAGGCUUUGAAGCAGGGUCGCUAGAUCUUGUGGAGCCAACGUUGAAAUACCACCCUGGUGUGUUUGAGGUUCUAACCUAGGUCCAUUAUCUGGAUCGGGGACAGUGCAUGGUAGGCAGUUUGACUGGGGCGGUCUCCUCCCAAAGCGUAACGGAGGAGUUCGAAGGUACGCUAGUUACGGUCGGACAUCGUGACGAUAGUGCAAUGGCAUAAGCGUGCUUAACUGCGAGACUGACAAGUCGAGCAGAUGCGAAAGCAGGACAUAGUGAUCCGGUGGUUCUGUAUGGAAGGGCCAUCGCUCAACGGAUAAAAGGUACUCUGGGGAUAACAGGCUGAUACCGCCCAAGAGUUCAUAUCGACGGCGGUGUUUGGCACCUCGAUGUCGGCUCAUCUCAUCCUGGGGCUGUAGCCGGUCCCAAGGGUAUGGCUGUUCGCCAUUUAAAGAGGUACGUGAGCUGGGUUUAAAACGUCGUGAGACAGUUUGGUCCCUAUCUUCCGUGGGCGCUGCAGAUUUGAGGAAGCCUGCUCCUAGUACGAGAGGACCGGAGUGGACACACCUCUGGUGUAUCGGUUGUCACGCCAGUGGCAUUGCCGAGUAGCUAAGUGUGGAAGAGAUAACCGCUGAAAGCAUCUAAGCGGGAAACUCGUUUCAAGAUGAGAUCUGCCGGGGCCUUGAGCCCCCUGAAGAGUCGUUCAAGACCAGGACGUUGAUAGGUCAGGUGUGGAAGCG